RNAcentral lists this ribosomal RNA (95 nucleotides) under uncultured bacterium. RNAcentral's name for it is "partial 16S ribosomal RNA". It matches the Rfam family "Bacterial small subunit ribosomal RNA", at positions 1404 to 1500 of the family's 1533-position model. The record is from RNAcentral.
AUGAGAGUUGGGAAUACCCGAAGCCUGUGAGCCAACAAACGAGGCAGCAGUCGAAGGUAGAAUCAAUGAUUGGGGUGAAGUCGUAACAAGGUAGC